This 7054-nucleotide long non-coding RNA is filed under the name Fragaria vesca (wild strawberry). Its description in RNAcentral is "long non-coding RNA (FVES_LNC002414)". The record is from RNAcentral. Lineage: Eukaryota; Viridiplantae; Streptophyta; Magnoliopsida; Rosales; Rosaceae.
UAUCCUCUAGAUAGACGUCCGAAACUGCAGUACAAGUGGGGACGAAUUUCUGUCUUAGGUCACUGCAAGGCAGACCUCUAUCUAAUCAAUCAAGUUAGUGUUGUUCGUUUUAUUUCGUUGUUAUUUUCAAUUUCAUUUUGAUUUCGUUGAUAUAUAUAUACUGUUUUUGAACGAAUAUUGGAUUGGUUCUAACAAUCUAAGACAGAAAUUCUCUAUUGUGUAGAGAUGGAUCAAUAUGUGUCUGUUCUGAAAAAUCAUGUUGAGAGACCCGAGAAAUUCAAGGGGUCGGAUUUCAAACGCUGGCAACAGAAGAUGUUGUUCUAUUUAACAACACUUCAUGUGGCAAAUGUUCUCACUGCCGAGGCUCCAAAGGCUCUGCCGGAAGGAGAAGGGGAGAAUGCUCCAACGGAUGCUCAAAGGGCCGAAAAUUUGAAGGCUAUUGAGACUUGGAACAACAAUGAGUAUAGUUGCAGAAACUACAUCCUCAAUGCCUUGGACGAUUCCUUGUAUGAUAUAUAUUCUACCUUCAAGACGGCAAGGGAAUUGUGGGAAUCAUUGGAGAACAAGUACAAGACUGAAGUUGCUUGUUCCAAGAAGUUUGUCAUUGGCAAGUUUCAAGAUGAGCGAUGCCAAGUCUGUUGUCAAGCAAGUGGAGGAACUCCAAGUCAUUGUUCAUGAGUUAGAUGUGGAAGGUAUGGGUUUUAACCCGAAUUUCCUUGUUGGUUCUAUUAUUGAGAAGUUACCUCCUUCAUGGAAAGAUUUCAAAAUAUAUCUGAAACAUCUAACCGAGGAUAUGAAUUUUGAGCAAUUGGUUCUUAAACUUCGAGUUGAAGAGGAUAACCGGAAGAAUGAAAGGGCUGAUGCUAUUUCCUUGGAGCCAACUGCAAAUAUGGUUGGAGGAAGUCCAUCAAAGGCCAAGUUUAAGAAAAAUAAAGGCAAAGGUGUUGCUGCCAAGCCUCUUUUUAUUGCUGGAAAGAACCUUCUCUCCUCACAAAAGUCCAAAGCAUUCAAGAAGCCACAAAUUGGAGGCUGCUGGGUGUGUGGAAAACCAGGGCAUAGAGCAAAGGAGUGUCGCCUUAAGAAAGAUCAUGGAGGUGCUGGAGGUUCUGGAAAUUCCAACCAAGCAAACCUUGCUGAGUCUGAAAAUCAAUUCAUUGGAGUGAUUGAAGCAAAUCUGGUUACCAAUGUUGUUGAUUGGUGGGUUGAUACUGGUGCUACAAGGCAUGUAUGCUCUUCAAAGGAGAUGUUCUCUUCAUACCAACCAAUCAACGAUGGAGAAUCAUUGUUCAUGGGGAAUGCCACUACUGCAAAGGUGGAAGGAAAAGGGAAGGUGAUUCUGAAACUCACUUAUGGGAAAGAUCUUGUACUUACUAAUGUGUUACAUGUGCCUGAAAUUUGUAAGAAUCUAGUUUCUGGUCUUGUUUUAAGCAACAAAGAUUCAAACUUGUAUUCGAAUCAGACAAAUUUGUUCUCACCAAGGGUGGGAUGUAUGUACGUAGGAAAGGGUUACCUCUAUGAAGGGCUCUUUAAGCUUAAUGUUAUACCUACUAUGGAUGAUGGUAUUAUUAAUAAUAAUAAUGCAGGCACUAGCACUGCUUCUAUGUACAUGGUUGAGUCUUCUUCCUUAUGGCAUUCUAGAUUAGGCCAUGUUAAUUUCCGUUCUUUACAAAGAAUGAUAAAAUUAGGCAUGCUGCCAAAGUGUUCUAUGAACAAAUUGACUAAGUGUGAGAUCUGUAUAGAAUCUAAAUAUGCAGGUCAUCCUCAUAAAUCUGUGGAGAAAUCCAAUAAAGUACUUAGUUUAAUUCAUAGUGAUUUGUGUGAUUACAAAGCAACUCCAUCACGUGGAGGAAAGAACUAUUAUAUAUUAUUUAUUGAUGAUUGCAGUAAAUAUUGUUAUGUAUAUUUGAUACAUACCAAGGAUGAGGCUUUAAACAUGUUUAAAACAUACAAAGCCGAGGUUGAGAAUCAACUUGAGAAAAGAAUAAAAAUUCUAAGGUCUGAUAGAGGAGGAGAAUACGAAUCCAAUGACUUUGCUGAAUUUUGUUCUGCUCAUGGUAUUGUGCAUCAAACUACAGCCCCAUAUAUUCCACAACAAAAUGGAGUUGCCGAAAGGAAGAAUAGAACAUUGAAGAACAUGAUAAAUUCAAUGUUAAUUACUUCGGGAGCACCACAUAGCUUGUGGGGUGAGGCUUGUAUUACUACAAAUAUGAUAUUAAAUAGAAUUCCUCAUAAACAAAGUGAUCAAUCUCCUUAUGAGUUAUGGAAAGGACGAUUGCCUACUUUUAAAAUGAUGAAAGUGUGGGGUUGUCUUGCUAAAGUUCAAGUUCCUUUACCAAAGAGGACUAAACUUGGACCAAAAACAAUAGAUUGCAUAUAUAUUGGCCCUACCAAGAAUAGUGCAGCUUAUAAGUUUUUGGUUUACCAGUUUGAUGUGGAGGAUGUGAACAAAAACACAAUCAUGGAAUCUGCCGAAGCAGAAUUUUUUGAGAAUAUAUUUCCUUAUAAGGAUAAAGAGGAUAAAGAGAAAGAGAAAUCUAAUCCAAGGAAAAGAACGUAUAAUGAUACGUUGUCUCAAAAUGAAUUAAACAAAAGUACUGACACUGAUGAAAACAAUACUUCUGCGGUUCAAGAAGCAACUCUAGAACCAAGAAGAAGUAAACGUGGAAAAAUAGCCAAAGAUUUUGGACCUGACUAUAUGACCUUUGCUAUUGAAGAAGAACCUCAAACAUAUAAAGCUGCCAUGGAAUCAUCGGAAACACCUUAUUGGAAAGAAGCUAUUCAAAGUGAAGUAGAAUCCAUUAUGCAAAAUAAUACAUGGAAAUUGGUUGAUUUACCUCCGGGACAUAAACCAAUAGGCCAUAAAUGGAUUUUCAAAAGGAAAUUGAGACCUGAUGAUACCAUAGAGAAAUACAAGACUCGUAUAGUAGCCAAAGGGUAUCGUCAAAAGGAAGAUGUAGACUUCUUUGACACUUAUUCGCCGAUGACAAGAAUUACGUCUAUAAGGACGUUAAUGACAAUAGCGGCUGUUCACAAUUUGGAAAUACACCAAAUGGAUGUGAAAACCGCAUUCUUAAAUGGUGAAUUAGAUGAAGAAAUAUACAUGCACCAACCUGAAGGGUUUGUUGUUAAAGGUCAAGAGAAUAAGGUGUGUAAAUUGGUUAAGUCCCUUUACGGCCUUAAGCAAGCUCCAAAGCAAUGGCAUGAGAAGUUUGAUAAUACACUUUUAUCAAAUGGUUUCAAAUAAAUGAAUGUGAUAAAUGUGUUUAUGUUAAACAAUGUAGAAAUGCAUGUGUUAUUAUAUGUUUAUAUGUGGAUGAUAUGCUUAUUAUGGGAAUGAAUAUGGAUGUAAUUAAUCAAACCAAGGAAAUGUUGCACUCCUCUUUUGAUAUGAAAGAUAUGGGAGUAGCAGAUGUCAUUCUUGGUAUUCGAAUUCAAAGGAAUUUAGAUGGUUACAUAGUUACUCAAUCCCAUUAUGUGGAGAAGGUCCUUAGAAAAUUUGGACAUUAUAAUGAUAGGUCGGUUGUUACUCCAUUUGAUCCCUCUAGUCACCUUAAGAAGAAUCAAGGAGAAAGUGUGUCUCAAUUGGAGUAUACUCAAGUUCUUGGAAGCUUGAUGUACAUAAUGAAUUGUACACGAUCAGAUUUAACAUAUAGUGUGAGUAGACUUAGUCGUUACUCAUACAAUCCCGGGAAAGAUCAUUGGGAUGCACUAGUGAGAGUGCUCCGAUAUCUAAAACAUACAAUGAAUUAUGGAUUGCAUUAUACAAAAUAUCCUCCCGUAUUAGAAGGAUAUUGUGAUGCUAAUUGGAUUUCCAAUCAUUCGGAAAGUAAGUCCACAAGUGGUUAUGUAUUUACCCUUGGAGGUGCAGCCGUAUAUUGGAAAUCAUCAAAGCAAACAGUGAAUACACGAUCGACUAUGGAAGUCGAGUUUGUAGCCUUAGAUAAAGUCGCCGAAGAAGCGGAAUGGCUCAAAAACUUCCUAGAGGGUAUUCCAUUGUGGCCAAAGCCUGUUACUGCCAUUUGCAUACAUUGUGAUAGUAUGGCUGCUCUUACAAGAGCGAAGAACCAAAUCUACAAUGGCAAAUUGAGGCAUAUAAGGCGUCGUCACAAGACAAUACGAGGCUUGCUCAAGAAUGGAAUUAUUUCCAUCGACUAUGUAAAGUCCAAGGAGAAUAUAGCAGAUCCUUUGACAAAAGGCCUAAAUAGAGAGCAAGUAGUAUUUACAUCGAGGGGAAUGGGCUUAAAGCCAAUACAAUGAGUCAUUACUUGACGGAAACCUAACCUAGCAACAUUGGAGAUCUCAUGGUCUAGGUUCAAUAGGCAAACUAGUUGGGGAAGACUCAAAGAGCAUCAACACACAUAUAUAUGCUCAUUCCUAUGAUGAUUUUAAGUGUGUUUUUCCAUUGACGAUUAAGGGUUGGAUAUUUAUUUAUUCUUAAUAAUGCUAAUAGCUUUUAAAGUGGAAUAGUACGGACUAUUCUUGAUUGGCAUUACCUAUAUGAGAUUGAUGUGGGGUCGCAUCUUUGAGAACCGAGAUGGCUACGUUCUCUAAAAUUCUCAUGAAGAAGGAUUUGUUCAAGACCGAAAUGAACACAACCGUAAAAAUUGAAUUAUGUAUAGAUGUGAUAUGUGUGAUAUUUGUUGUUUCGAUUUACUACAAAAUGUGGUUAGUUCAAGACUAAAGUUCACUACCCACAAAGUAAGUCCGAUAAGUACUCACUACGAAAGGUUCAAGUUCAAAAGACACCUUUUUCGAUGCAUAUCAUAUUUAGAUUCUUGGAAAUAGUAAAAUAAGUUCCUCUCAUUAUCUUAUUUUCUAUUCAAAUAUGAGGUAUUCUUAGAGUUUGAAUAGAAAAUGUGGGGUAUUGUUGGAACUUGUGUGGUAUUUAUCCCACAUUGAAGAAGAAUUAAAUGUGUGAGUCUUUAUAUGUAAACACCCAUGUGACUCAUUAAAUAGAUGAUAAACCUAAUAUGGGCUUGGUGGGCUUUCUAUUGGGUUUCCAAUAGAAAUAAAUAUAUAUAUUAAUAUAUAUAUAUAUAUAUAUAUAUUUAAUAAAGGAAAAAUUCAGUUUACUACCCUGAACUUUAGGUCUAAAAUCAGUUUGAUACCUCUAUUUUUUUUUAAUCAGUUUCAUACCUAAACUUUCAAAAUGACAUCAAUCUCGACCAAAAUGACUAAAAUAGCCCUGGUUAAUCUNNNNNNNNNNNNNNNNNNNNNNNNNNNNNNNNNNNNNNNNNNNNNNNNNNNNNNNNNNNNNNNNNNUCUCUUUCUCUCCCUACCUCCAAAUCUGCCACAUGGCCGGCGCCGGCAUCCACUCCUACCACCAGUAAUGGGCCCCGGCGGCAUCCCCUCCUCCUCCCCCGGCCGUCGCCGCUGUCAUUCUUAACUCUAAGAGGGUAAAAAGAUUAACCAGGGCUAUUUUAGUCAUUUUAGUCGAGAUUGAUGUCAUUUUGAAAGUUUAGGUAUGAAACUGAUUAAAAAAAAAGAUGAGGUAUCAAACUGAUUUUAGACCUAAAGUUUAGGGUAGUAAAGUGAAAUGAUCUCUUUAAUAAAAGUCAAAGAUUGGGCCUUGGGCUCUGUUGGUUAAAUCCGAAUUUAAUUUUUUGGAAAUUAAUAUUAUUUAAUUUAAUUAUUAAAUUUGGAUAAAUAUCAAAAGACAUAACUGUCCAAACAGUUACAACUGUCCGAGCAGUUACAACUGUCCGAGCAGUUGUGUCUGUCCAAACAGUUAUACAUGUUCAAAUUGACUUUUAUAUAAAGACGACUUCUGUCGUUGUUUUGAUCAUUGAAUCACUCUUCUUCUUCCUCCCCAAAAACUAUUUAUGCUGAAGCAUAAAGUAAAUUCGCCAGGGUCAAGUUCUUGUGCAAGAACUUGAACCAGAUAGUUGUAUCCUCUAGAUAGACGUCCGAAACUGCAGCACAAGUGAGGACGAAUUUCUGUCUUAGGUCACUGCAAGACAGGCCUCUAUCUGAUCAAUCAAGUUAGUGUUGUUCGUUUUAUUUCGUUGUUAUUUUCAAUUUCAUUUUGAUUUCGUUGAUAUAUAUAUAUAUAUACACUGUUUUUGAACGGAUAUUGGAUUGGUUCUAACAGCCUUUACAUGGUUUGGGCUGGUAAACUGCGAUUGUGGUUUGUGUGAUAGGCGUUGAGGCAGGGCAGCGAUAUAAGGGUGUGCACGCAGGUUGACGUCUUUGUGACUGAGUGGAAGUGGUGGAUAGAUCCAAACGGUUUUGUGCAAAGGGCGGCUCAGGUUUUAGGAGGCCAAACUGAUGGUUGAAGGUUAUGAUAGACCGCCUAAGCGGCGUUGAUGGAUGACAUUUUUGUUUCUAGCCGGUAUCUCGAUCUAUAACGGUCGGAAGAUGAGGAGGCCAGUGGGACGCUAGACUGUUUGCUUUCUGAGCUUUAUAUGGAGCUUAUGGCAUUAUGUUUUGGGUAGGCCAAGUUCGUUUUUUUUCUCUUCUCAUUUGGGUUGGUUAAUUAUGGGUUGGAACAUGACCUUUUUUCAAAGAUGUUCAAUGCAUUGACGAGGGAGGGACACACCAUGUGGGCCUUUUGGAAGAUGCGGAGAAUUACGGUCAUUUAUCGAAUAAAUUAGUUGUUAGUUUUCUUUUUAUUUUAGUUGUUCACUGUUUUAGACGUAGUUUUUUAGAAUUUAUUUUAAAUUUUUAUUAUUGUUUAUAGAAGAGCGCAAGCUCUUCAACUUGUAUACAAGCUUGCUCUUCAACUUGUGUACGAGCUGAUUCCUCCCCACUUAGCAAUAUUUGAUCGCACAGCUCUUCGCCAACAUAAUUUAUCUGCCUCUUAAAAAAGUAAAGUUUUAGACCCUCUUGAAUUUCCUCAAACAUUUUCUCCUUUGAAUAACUUUAGCUUGGACAACUUCCACCAUACUAAAAGUUACUAACAUCAAGCGGCUCUUGUAGUCUUGACCAGUGCUAAACCCCAAAACCCCCAAAAUCAGACGGCCACAGAUUCUCUCUCCCCUGAUCAAGUAACUUGGGGCUUUCCUUUUCCCUCUCAAAACCCUUCCCUCUUCCCCAUCUCUCUCUCUCUCNNUNN